This 429-nucleotide ribosomal RNA is filed under the name Gemmatimonadota bacterium. Its description in RNAcentral is "Gemmatimonadetes bacterium partial 16S ribosomal RNA". It matches the Rfam family "Bacterial small subunit ribosomal RNA", at positions 355 to 776 of the family's 1533-position model. Lineage: Bacteria; Pseudomonadati; Gemmatimonadota. The record is from RNAcentral.
UAGGGAAUCUUCGGCAAUGGACGAAAGUCUGACCGAGCAACGCCGCGUGAGUGAAGAAGGUUUUCGGAUCGUAAAACUCUGUUGUUAGAGAAGAACAAGGACGUUAGUAACUGAACGUCCCCUGACGGUAUCUAACCAGAAAGCCACGGCUAACUACGUGCCAGCAGCCGCGGUAAUACGUAGGUGGCAAGCGUUGUCCGGAUUUAUUGGGCGUAAAGCGAGCGCAGGCGGUUUCUUAAGUCUGAUGUGAAAGCCCCCGGCUCAACCGGGGAGGGUCAUUGGAAACUGGGAAGCUUGAGUGCAGAAGAGGAGAGUGGAAUUCCAUGUGUAGCGGUGAAAUGCGUAGAUAUAUGGAGGAACACCAGUGGCGAAGGCGGCUCUCUGGUCUGUAACUGACGCUGAGGCUCGAAAGCGUGGGGAGCAAACAGG